GUCCCUGUAGCUCAGCGGAUAGAGCGUCAGGUUGCGGACCUGAAGAUCGCCCGUUCGAAUCGGGCC
This 66-nucleotide transfer RNA is filed under the name Parcubacteria group bacterium CG11_big_fil_rev_8_21_14_0_20_39_14. RNAcentral's name for it is "tRNA-Arg". It matches the Rfam family "tRNA". From Rfam's summary of the family: Transfer RNA (tRNA) molecules are approximately 80 nucleotides in length. Their secondary structure includes four short double-helical elements and three loops (D, anti-codon, and T loops). The record is from RNAcentral.